This is a long non-coding RNA of Sardina pilchardus (European sardine), 582 nucleotides long. RefSeq lists it as uncharacterized. Lineage: Eukaryota; Metazoa; Chordata; Actinopteri; Clupeiformes; Clupeidae. The record is from RefSeq and is a predicted model, not a curated record. The transcript has 3 exons.
CGAGCGGUAGAGUGAGGCGAGACAGCGGCUGGGCAGGCACUAGCAGCGCGAGGAAACGGAGCAGAACGAGAGUAGGACAGAACCGACCGCUCGUGCUGAGCAGCAGACAGACACACACACACACACACACACACACUCCGUACUCCCGCGAGCCUGAAGAGAGGGGACUGGGCCGCGUGGGGGAACGCAGAUCAUGCGCCGUCGCGCGCUGUCUAGGCUACUCCGGUUCGGUGUCGGUAGACAUUCGGUCUGAUCCCGGCCGCGAGCGGAGGACAGAGCUGCCCGUGACGACUGUUGACACUCUCAUCUCCCUCGCACAUGAGACUGGACUGGAAACACGAGCGAGACGAAACGAUGCUGCUGCUGUGUUCAAGACUCUCAGGCACAAGUGUGUGUGUGUAGCACUGUGUCAGGAAACCCCUCACACACAUGCACACACACACACACACACCCAUGGAACGAGACCGGGGAUCUUUCAGAAGAUGCAAGGGAAAGUGUGUGUGUGUGUGUGUGUGUGUGUGAUCUGUGGAAAAUCACAGAAGUGUCAGAGAAAGGACAGGAUCAUCGCUGGAAGCUUAUUGG